Cephus cinctus (wheat stem sawfly) is the source of this 2983-nucleotide long non-coding RNA. RefSeq lists it as uncharacterized. NCBI's taxonomy places the organism in Eukaryota, Metazoa, Arthropoda, Insecta, Hymenoptera, Cephidae. The transcript is spliced from 3 exons. The record is from RefSeq and is a predicted model, not a curated record.
GCUGAUGAACGUAACGAAGUUCCACACUGGCUCUGUAAAUAUCUGAGGGUCGAUCUUUGCUACUGCAACGACGGUAACCGAUGAUACUCCAUGAUAACCAAUGCGCGGUACGUGUUAUCAUUUCGUUACAGGCUGUUACUGUUGGCAAGAUAAGCCACGAAAUUCGAAAAGUCCCGUUCACCAACAAUCCCAAAGCCACCCCUUGACCGUGCGAUAAUAUUGAUAGCAGGAAGAAAUUAAAAGUUCGCUAAACUUCAAGUCAGCAACGCACCGCAGCGACAAUACUGCUAUCAUACGACGUAUACCUAUAUGCGUAAACACGGACAGACUCCAAAGAUGCAGGAACAUCAACCUUCAAAUGUCAAAUGGAUAUAUAUACAUAUAGGCUGUCCCAAAAUUCAUGUACCCAUGGGUCAUGGCUGUGUUCGGGAGGCAUAAGAGAUCACGAAGAUGAUUCUUUUUCUGUCCAGAAGAAGAAACGGUAGGCAUCUACAGACCUUGAGAUUUCUUCCCUUGCUUCUGUUUCUUUCACGGCAGCGAUGAGGCUGCACAUGCUACAGACAGAUCACGCGAAAUAUCAAUUGAUUCACGGUCCGAGCACUAACUGCAUUAUUUGACAGACCACCGAUACGCCUUGGCUUCGCAUAGCAGCUUCACGCGGAUCCUGUGAUCCGCAAUCGUUUCGAGCGACGCGUUCGGUCGGACGAAAACCCGUGCCUGAAACGUAGAUGAAUCCCAUUAGACCUGCUCCCAUUUGAAGACUAAGAACUUCUACAGAAAAAAAGAUCAUUUCCAUGAUCCUUGAUGCCUCCCGAACACGGUCAUCCCCCGAAAGUACAUAAAUUUUGAGACACCCUGUAUACCUAAUACACACGUUAUAAACAUACAUCUAUAUCCCAAGAAUAACACGAAUCCAUCAACUCUCUGAACAUAAUUAACGAGCUGCCGCCAACUUGUCUCCGAUUCGGGUUGGUAGAGCGAUCGAUUAAUCACACACAGUUGCAAUUAUGCUGGAACCUACUGUAUACACGUGACGACAAGAUGAACAACGCGCCAAGUCCUUUUAUCAAAGGCAAAGAAGCUGGACACUGAAUUUGCUUAGUUACACUUGGUAAAUGGAUCGGUUGCUCGGACAGGAUCAUCAAAAGGCACAUUCGUAUUUAUAUGUAUAUAUGAACAUACGACACAAUGACACGCGACAAAGAGAAUCGUAGACCCAAAAUUAUACAAACUACGAACACACUGAAAAUUCGUACAGGGAAUUCGCACGAGUGCCCAUAUACCUAAAUGUUCACUUAUGGUAUGCAUAUGGUCCAUAUACAUGUAUAAAUUCAUAGCGUCACAGGGUAUAUAAAUACUAAGACCAAAGGGGCACACGAUGCUUAGUGUUUGUUAAACCAUGCAGUGGUACAACGUGUACUAUUAUCGUUAUGUCUCUCUCACUCUUGUUAGCAGAGAUGGACACAGGAUACAAUAGAGAUGUUACUACGGAAUCGUACUAAGUACAUAUAUACCACGGCACUUUACGUGUAUCUCGUAUAACGGGUGUGUGUUGGCGUAUCGGGCAGUAAAGAAGUUUGACUGUAGCAUGUUGGGUAGAUGUAUACAGUGUGACGGAAUAGUUUCAGAUCGGAUAUAUAAGACCAUUACUCGUGGCUGCUGUCGGAUCGUAGUUAAUAUCCAUUUAAACCUAUAGCGACUGAUAAAAAUGGUUUUCUCUAUCGAUGGGAUUGGGUCGUUGAUUAAUUGAACAAUAUUGGUGUAAUUGAAACGGAUGAUUUAUCGUAAUAUUAUUUGUUUGGACUUUCAGCGGUUUGGGAUUGGAGAUAAAAGUGAUUUUUCUUCUGCGGUUAUGCAACCUUUUAUUAUGGGGAUGUAAGAACCGUUCAGUAUGGCCAUUAGUAAUUUGCCAUUGAGAACCUGUAACAUCUACGGAACCAUCCAUUAGGUGGAGUUACCGGGUAGUUAGUGUAGGCUCCUAUUGUGACUGGCGCAUCAAUAAUGCCGGUUUCGAGGGUGGACGUUCAGAAGCAACCCCUUCUUGCUAUUUGGAUCUAGAAGAGCCCGACCACCCCUAUCAAUAACGUCUAAUCGACCUGCGUAGCUCGUGGACAUGGACGAGACUAAAGGCCAUAUGGGUAAAGGGAACAAGAGAGUGGAGGGUGACGUCAGAGUGAGAGAGAGAGAGAGAGAAAGGGGGGAGGGGGGGAUGAACAUUUAUUUUACUAGAGUUACUAGACCCUUUUAAGUAUAAAGCAAAAAAUAUAUGAAGUAGGACAAAGAGAAUUUUAGAGAAUUUUAUUAAGUUAGCCUAAGUAUAUAAGCUUGUAAUCAACCUGGACGGACCUAUAGCAGUUGUAAGAUGAAACCAGAAAGGUACGUAGUGCUUUUUUUAAAUGCGACCAGCGUGCACUUUUCACAAAUGGCAGUCGGAGGCGAAUUCGAAAAUCUAAUAUCGGACGCUAGCAGCGACUGUUGAUAAAGUAAAGAAAAACUAUCAAGUUGGAAGCAAACGAACGAGUGUUAGGAGCUGACGUGGAACUGGAUGACGCGAAGUUUAAUUCUCUGGAGAAGCCAAGAGACCAGAAGUGCCGAGCAAUGCACUCCGGUUUAUUCGCACCUGGGACGGGACGAACGGACCGGUUAAAUGUUUGCUGCAACCUCAGAUUCUCUUUGGUCCGACGGAACGAGCCGGCGACGCUGGCCCUUUGUUAAGGGAAAAUGACGCUUCGACCUUGUACCAACCCCGUGUAAGAUCGUCGCAUCUCGUGUCGAAGAUGUCAUCAACCGGAGGAGUAUUUACAUAUCUGGAAGACCCUAACAUCAGCCUUGGUUUUCGACGGGUUUACACGAAGGUUGGCCGAACCACGAUUUCGAACAAUUUCAAUGUAAACUUCUCGCAAUACAAUUGUUCGUGCAAGCUGGAGAACAAUGGGCAUACAUCUGUCUGUGCGUUAGAGAGAGAGAGAGAGAGAGAGAGAGA